AACGAACGCUGGCGGCAGGCUUAACACAUGCAAGUCGAGCGCCCCGCAAGGGGUGCGGCAGACUGGUGAGUAACGCGUGGGAACGUACCUUUUUGUUUGGAACAACUCCGGGAAACGGGAGCUUAUACCGGAUAAGCGCUAACGGGGGAAGAUUUAUCGCCGAAAAAUCGGGCCGCGUCAGAUUAGCUAGGUGGUGGGGUAACGGCGCGCCAAGGCGACGAUCAGGAGCUGGUCUGGGUGGAUGAUCAGCCACACUGGGAAUGAGACACGGCCCAGACUCCUACGGGACGCAGCAGUGGGGAAUAUUGGAGAAUGGGCGCAGGCCUGAUCCAGCCAUGCCGGGUGAGUGAUGAAGGCCUUAGGGUUGUAAAGCUCUUUUGUCCGGGAAGAUAGUGACUGUACCGGAAGAAUAAGCCCCGGCUAACUUCGUG
This 431-nucleotide ribosomal RNA is filed under the name uncultured bacterium. RNAcentral's name for it is "partial 16S ribosomal RNA". It matches the Rfam family "Bacterial small subunit ribosomal RNA", at positions 29 to 507 of the family's 1533-position model. The record is from RNAcentral.